Molecule: long non-coding RNA, 3412 nt
Organism: Lotus japonicus
Lineage: Eukaryota; Viridiplantae; Streptophyta; Magnoliopsida; Fabales; Fabaceae
Exons: 3
Source: RefSeq, a predicted model, not a curated record
CGUUUUGUGGACAUCAAAAUCGAGGGUGACAAAGGAUAGGGAAGAUUAAUUGAUGGAGUGGGUUUCACCAGGAACGAGGGAGGGAAGAGGGAAGAGCAAGUUACACCUAUGAUGAUCCUUUGAUCUUUCUAAAUAUGCUUUUCUUCUCUUCUCACUCUGAGUAUGAUCCAUCCAAUCCAAUCUCAUUGCUUAUCAAUCUCUCUCGCUCUACCUGCAAUACUCCACUCUGUCCCUUUUCUCUCUCUCUCUAGGAUUAAUAUUAAUUAAUCAGACAAUUAAUCACACCCACCUUCACCCUUUUGAUCUCUCUCUUAUUUAUUGUGAAGCUCCGUCACAUCAUAAAUACGCCAGCACAUGCCUCUCCAAAUUCUCAUAAUUCUCUCUUGCUCCCUUCUUCCUCUCUGGGGAUGGUGGCUGAGAGAGUGUUUCUUUAAUAUCAUGGCUAUUUUGAUGAAUGAAGAAGUUGGAUGAUCAUGUGGGUUUAACAAAGGGUUGCUUACAGAGUUUAUUGGCAUUCUGUCCACCUCCAACUUCAUCUGCUUCCUCUCUCACCAAUUAAUAUAUGCGGAGGAGGUGGGCAUAUUGCCAACAGAGCUGUGUUAGCUUCUCUUUGUAAAACCUUCAUGAUGAUUGAUGUGUAUAUACAAAAAUAUAUGUUUCAAUUAGAUUAGAUACAUACACUCUUUUGUGAUCAAACAUUGAGGUAAAAUAAAUAUAGCCACUAUUCUCCUUCCUUUUCCCCCACUUCUUUCUGUGUCUGUGUCUAUUCACGCACUCCAUGUGUUUGAUUUGUAGCUAGAUGCUGCUGUAUGGUGUUUUGCUUUCUACCUAUUUUGAGGAGUUGAACACCGGUCCAUUUUCAUUUUUUUCAUACAUGUUAUUAAUACUAAAAUGAUGCUGUUUGGUUUUUUCUCGUAUUUUUGUGUAGGCGAAGAAAUUGACGGGAUCAGAGAUAAAGGGCCUAAACCUUAAGCCCUUGCAGCCUGAAGCGGAUGUUGGAAAUACAGAUAUACUAAGAUCUAGCUACUUUUAUUUGCAUUCUUGGAAAGUGGAAACCCUAUGAUUCACUUUGCCUUUGGUGGUUUUACUAUUGUUUCUCUUCCUGUGUUUCUUUAAUUAACUAGUCCAUCAGUACUGUAACAGAGAUGAGGGGUGUGUUUUUUCUGUUCAUUUUAUAAUUUUCUUUUAACGUUGUUUAUCAGUCUAGUUCUAAGAUGCGUGGGGUCUAGGGUUUCAACAGGGGAUGGUCUUGUUUACAUAAAUUACAUAUGAAUUAUGAUCGAUCUUUUAUGUUGAGGGGCAGGGGUUAAAAAGUUUCUAUUGACAUUUUGUAACUAAAUCCUCAUUAGUUUGGAGGAACUUCAGGUUUUGAAGAGAUGGUUGCCAUUUUUAGCAAAUGGGUGGAAGGAAAGUUAUUUUUCCUCUUGUUUUUUAAUUAGAAUUUGGUAGGUCUGACUCUAAACAAAAUGUAGUUCAAGAGUUGAAGAUUGUUCAACCGUAUAUAAAUUUAAGGUUAUCUUGAUUGUCUCAUUGGUCAAUGUGAAACUGAAAUUUAGUUUUAUUCUUACCAAUUUCAUGUGUUAUAUAUUCUCAGCCAUGGCCAUAUAUGGUUUUAUGCAUGGCCAUCACUACAAUAUUGCUGUGCUCACUUCAAAUUUGAAACAACAUUCAUACAUUCACAUCCACUUUCAUGCUACUAUUUCUGCACGCUAUUUUCUUUUUUUUUUAAUGUAUCACAUAUUAUAUAUUUUUCAAUCUUUUGAGGGUGUGGAUCCACUUAUUUUUCCAAUUUGAACCAAAAAAAUUGGGCUUUCGGUUUGGGUAAUUUUCACUAUAUCCAGCAGGUAGCAAAGACUAUAUAUGGUUGGUAUGUUUAGCACUUCUGCACUUGUUAGCAUUAACUUAGUUUGGCUGAGCUCCCUAUUGCUGGUUACGUUUCACACGCGAAGUCUUCUGAACUCUGAAGGCAAAGCUAGCAAGGCUCAUGAUUGUGAAGACUGACGACAUUAACGAUUCAAGUAUGCACGCUCUUUCAUGGCGCGUAGGGUAAAAUGACUCAAUGUUCUUGGAAGCAUUGCAGAAAGACUUUCGUGAUCGUGGUUGUUACUGGACAACCUUGUGUUACUGUUAAUGAAUGAGUCGAUGGUCGCCCUCUUGAAAGAGGAGGGGGGAGGGGGGAGGGAAUGUUGUAUUUCAGAUUGCACAGCCUUGGAGGGUGAAACAAAAAGCAUAAGAGGGGAUUGUGGGUGGUAGUGGUUUGGGUGUAUGAAUGGACAACUAUCUCUUUGCUUAGAAAGUUAAACUUGUAAUCUAACUCGUUGUUGUCCUCUCUAAAGUAAAUAUUUGGGUGCCUCUCUUUUUUAUCCGCAAAUAAUUAAUGUAGCACUACCUCGAGUUAAUAAUUAAUCCGCAAAUAAUUAAUGUAGCUACUAUCUCGUUGUAUUGUACACCCACACUUUCUAAAAUAAAUAUUUGAUCUACAUCUCCCAAUACUUUAAAACAAGAGCAUAAGAGGAAAAAAAAUACAAAUAUAAACUUAAAGUGUUUUCACAGGUGCUACUUGAUGUUUUUUGGUGUGUUGAAACAAGGAGCUUGAGAUUCCUAUAUAUAGUCUUGGACUCUCUCACCCAUCACUAAUCUAAGCGAUGUGAGACUUCUUCAAGAUGCAUAACUUGAUAUUUUUUCUCCUUCAUUAGCAAUGUGGGACUUACAUUGCAAUCAACCCCAACAUGUUUUCCGACAAUGACUUGUUGGUGGUCACUCGGGCAUUGAACAAAGAUGCGGGAGGUGAAGAGAACCAGGUUUGCAGGACGGUUCGGUUCGAGGUUUUUAAGAUGGAUUGGAAGGAGUCGAAAUGGGACAAGAUUGAAACUCUUGGCGACAAGGUGUUGUUUGUUGGGGGGAAUAAUUCACAUUCGUUUUCUGCUUCUGAUUUUGGAGGAUGUUUUGAAGCUGAUUGCAUCUAUUUCACUGGUCAUUAUCCUGAGUCUAAUCAUGAUGAUUCAUGUGGGAAACAUGAUUUGGGCAUAUUUAGAUUAAAGGAUAAGAGCAUUGAGCCUUUGCCUUGUUUCCCCCAAAAUUCACCAAUCUGGAUAACACCAAAUCCGUUUUAACUUCAGAAUCUCAUUGUGAUGUGCUGGAGGGGUCUAGAUUGCAAGGCAAGAUCAAUGUGCUGGAUUGGGUUGAAAGAGAGAUUAUGUUCUGAUGUAUUAAUGCAGGAGUUUUUUGAAUGAUUUGGAGAAUGUUUAUAGUUUAUUUAAACAUAUAUUUUAGUAUUUUAGACUUUUAGUAAAGUGAUUUGCGGAAUGAUUAGUUUUGGACAUAUGUUUAGUAUUUUAUACUUUCAAGUCUGAUUAAUAGCAUGUCUUGCGACUUUUCACUAUGAUUUUAGUCUCACCAUGUUGGUGUGCUU